AACACAUUUUCAGUAAAAUGUAUUCUCCAGAUUGCUAAGUCUACAGACUUAGGAUACCAUAAGGAAAUAUGGAAUUUCAAGUAUAAG
Molecule: long non-coding RNA, 87 nt
Organism: Ipomoea nil (Japanese morning glory)
Lineage: Eukaryota; Viridiplantae; Streptophyta; Magnoliopsida; Solanales; Convolvulaceae
Exons: 3
Source: RefSeq, a predicted model, not a curated record